CCUGGCUCAGGAUGAACGCUGGCGGCGUGCCUAACACAUGCAAGUCGAACGAAGCAUCCCGCCCGAAGAAGAGGAGUGCUUGCACAAAUCGGACUCAAUUGGGGUGACUUAGUGGCGGACGGGUGAGUAACGCGUGGGUAACCUGCCGUGUGCGAGGGGGAUAACAGUUAGAAAUGACUGCUAAUACCGCAUAAGCGCACACUGUCGCAUGACAGAGUGUGAAAAGCCGAGACGGCACACGAUGGACCCGCGUCUGAUUAGCCAGUUGGCAGGGUAACGGCCUACCAAAGCGACGAUCAGUAGCCGGCCUGAGAGGGUGAACGGCCACAUUGGGACUGAGACACGGCCCAAACUCCUACGGGAGGCAGCAGGUGGGGAAUAUUGGGCAAGUGGGGGCAACCCUGACCCAGCAACGCCGCGUGAAGGAAGAAGGCUUUCGGGUUGUAAACUUCUUUUACCAGGGACGAAGGACGUGACGGUACCUGGAGAAAAAGCCACGGCUAACUACGUGCC
This 513-nucleotide ribosomal RNA is filed under the name uncultured organism. Its description in RNAcentral is "SSU rRNA". It matches the Rfam family "Bacterial small subunit ribosomal RNA", at positions 18 to 509 of the family's 1533-position model. The record is from RNAcentral.